RNAcentral lists this ribosomal RNA (110 nucleotides) under Neogale vison (American mink). The record is from RNAcentral. Lineage: Eukaryota; Metazoa; Chordata; Mammalia; Carnivora; Mustelidae.
GUCUACGGCCAUACCACCCUGAAUGCGCCCGAUCUCGUCUGAUCUCAGAAGCUAAGCAGGGUCGGGCCUGCUUGGAUGGGAGAAAUCUGUAAGAAGUAUGUGCGUAUGUA